UAUCAUGGUUCAGAACGAACGCUGGCGGCGUGCCUAACACAUGCAAGUCGAACGUGAUCCGCCCUUCGGGGUGGUGAAAGUGGCGCACGGGUGAGUAACGCGUGGAUAAUCUGCCCGAGGAUUUGGGAUAACAUCUCGAAAGGGGUGCUAAUACCGAAUAAGCCCACGGGGUCUACGGAUCUUGCGGGAAAAGGGGGGGACCUUCGGGCCUCCUGUCCUUGGAUGAGUCUGCGUACCAUUAGCUAGUUGGUGGGGUAAUGGCCUACCAAGGCGACGAUGGUUAGCUGGUCUGAGAGGAUGAUCAGCCACACUGGAACUGAGACACGGUCCAGACUCCUACGGGAGGCAGCAGUGGGGAAUUUUGCGCAAUGGGGGAAACCCUGACGCAGCAACGCCGCGUGGGUGAUGAAGGCCUUCGGGUCGUAAAGCUCUGUCUGGAGGGAAGAAAUGAUUGGGAGCUAAUACCUCUUGAUCUUGACGGUACCUCUGAAGGAAGCACCGGCUAACUCCGUGCCAGCAGCCGCGGUAAUAC
RNAcentral lists this ribosomal RNA (532 nucleotides) under Geobacter sp. enrichment culture clone set2_pH7. Its description in RNAcentral is "bacterial SSU rRNA". It matches the Rfam family "Bacterial small subunit ribosomal RNA", at positions 15 to 526 of the family's 1533-position model. The record is from RNAcentral. Lineage: Bacteria; Pseudomonadati; Thermodesulfobacteriota; Desulfuromonadia; Geobacterales; Geobacteraceae.